GGGGGUUAGUGAAACUAACACGAGUGGUCAUCAGAUCUGAUCACUCCCUCUACCUUGUCUGCAGCACCACCCACCAGUUCUCUUUUUAUAGCGCUCCCCAUCUCCCACUCUCAGGUUACUCGUGGAAGGGUGUUCGGAGCUGCUGCCUGUGUCUGCAGCCUCUGGAGGGGUUCUUUUUUUUUGGAGGACUCAUCCAGCCCCAUUGAUUGGAUUGGGUAGCCUUGUCUUGACACAGGACUGUGCUGGGCGACGUGUUUCAACAGAUGGUUGGGGUUAGAGUGUGUCAUCACAUUGGAGUGGGGAUUAAAGCUGCGAGGGGGCAUUGCUGGAGCUGUGUGGUCGAUCCCAGUUAAGUGCUAACUUGAAGAAAUAAAAAGAAGAAGACAGAAGCCAGGAGUGUCUGUGCUCAGGAGAAUAUUGUUGCCUAUUUUUUUUGUGAAGGUCCACUGCUGACGUGUUGGACAUGGCAGAGUCAUGCUGUUUUUAAGGAGUGACGUUAACUACCGACCACUCUAGCCAAGUAAGUUAAAAGUGUCCAUUUCUGUGCUUCCACAUGCCACCGGAACAUGAAGGUUCCAUUCAAUAGAACAAGCCCCAUCGUGUGUGUAUUCCUCAGGUAUAUAUCUGUAUGUAUAGGUUUACCUGCAGAGAAAGAAUCCACAAUAGUCCCAUUCAGUAUUUUUAUACCACUUUUUAUAGAGAGCUGCAGAACCAGUCCUAUCCAAGACACAAGCGAUUUCUUUUCAUUAUGCAUGUGCCUGAAUAAACCUGUGAAUGCCCCUGUGUUACAGAACUUUCACUAUUCAGUUAUUAAAGGGUUAAUUAAGGGCAAGUGCAAUGUGGAAAAGAUGUUGAAAGGGCGCUGUAAUUGUUGAAAAUGUGGAAAGAGGAAGUCAUUAUGAUGGAUUGCUGCAAAAUAACCUAUAGACCACAUUUCAUUGAACCCUUCGGUCACAUUUGCUUAGAGGAAACUACAAAGG
Molecule: long non-coding RNA, 980 nt
Organism: Spea bombifrons (plains spadefoot toad)
Lineage: Eukaryota; Metazoa; Chordata; Amphibia; Anura; Pelobatidae
Exons: 2
Source: RefSeq, a predicted model, not a curated record